Molecule: ribosomal RNA, 208 nt
Filed under: uncultured bacterium
Lineage: Bacteria
Description: partial 16S ribosomal RNA
Rfam family: Bacterial small subunit ribosomal RNA
Source: RNAcentral
UUCAGAUUGCAGGCUGCAACCCGCCUGCAUGAAGUCGGAAUUGCUAGUAAUCGCGGAUCAGCAUGCCGCGGUGAAUACGUUCCCGGGCCUUGUACACACCGCCCGUCACACCAUGGGAGCCGGUAAUACCCGAAGUCAGUAGUCCAACCACGUGAGGACGCUGCCGAAGGUAGGAUUGGCGACUGGGGUGAAGUCGUAACAAGGUAGC